CCAUAUGUGUGCAAGUCAGGGGCUCACAGAAAGGUCACCGUGGUGCAAUGAGGUGAAGGCCAGGCUUUACCGGCUGAGGCGGAACCCCAAGGCCUCUCCAGUCUGUUGAGGGCACACCACCAGCCCAUCUCGCCUGCCCUGCCAGAAGGUGGAGGAACACAAGUGUACAUGUUAGCAUCUGAACGGCGGUGAAUUAUGCAUGUCAAAGGCAGAGGAGACUCUGCAGGGGGUCUGCACCAGUCCUCAUGUGCAAAUCAGUAGUCUGACCUGGGUAGAGGGGCAAAAAACUAAAUAUACCGUCUACUAGCUGG
RNAcentral lists this non-coding RNA (311 nucleotides) under Erinaceus europaeus (western European hedgehog). Its description in RNAcentral is "Eukaryotic large subunit ribosomal RNA". It matches the Rfam family "Eukaryotic large subunit ribosomal RNA", at positions 676 to 954 of the family's 3401-position model. The record is from Rfam by way of RNAcentral. Lineage: Eukaryota; Metazoa; Chordata; Mammalia; Eulipotyphla; Erinaceidae.